GAUGAAGAACGUAGCGAAGUGCGAUAAGUAAUGUGAAUUGCAGAAUUCCGUGAAUCAUCGAAUCUUUGAACGCAAAUUGCACUUUCUGGUAUUCCGGAGAGUAUGCCUGUUUGAGGGUCAGUGUAAUAAAAAUAAAUCGUGGUUGUUACCACUUUUCGUGGUGACGCUUCGGAAUUGAGUCGUCUUACCUUCGGUUAAGUGACUUAAAAUUUUUUCAUACGAUUUCGAAACGUAUUUAAUGUAUUAUGUAUGUUCACGAAUAUCGAAUGUUUAUUAGGUGCGGUCAUUUUCAUGAAUCGUGUCUAUAAUUUUUUUUUUUUGACCUCAAAUCAGGUAAGAAUCCCCGCUGAACUUAAGCAUAUCAAUAAGCGGAGGA
This 376-nucleotide unclassified non-coding RNA is filed under the name soil metagenome. RNAcentral's name for it is "partial contains 5.8S ribosomal RNA, internal transcribed spacer 2, and large subunit ribosomal RNA". The stretch from base 1 to 120 matches the Rfam family "5.8S ribosomal RNA", at positions 35 to 154 of the family's 154-position model. The record is from RNAcentral.